AGAGUUUGAUCAUGGCUCAGGAUGAAUGCUGGCGGCGUGCCUAAUACAUGCAAGUCGAGCGGUAAGGCCCUUCGGGGUACACGAGCGGCGGACGGCUGAGUAACGCGUGGGAACAUGCCCCAAAGUGAGGGAUAACGCACCGAAAGGUGUGCUAAUACCGCAUAUGGUCUUCGGAUUAAAGGAUUUAUCCGCUUUGGGAGUGGCCCGCGUACGAUUAGAUUGUUGGUGAGGUAACGGCUCACCAAGUCGACGAUCGUUAACUGGUCUGAGAGGAUGAUCAGUCAGACUGGAACUGAGACACGGCCCAGACUCCUACGGGAGGCAGCAGUAAGGAAUCUUCCACAAUGGGCGAAAGCCUGAUGGAGCAACGCCGCGUGCAGGAUGAAGGCCCUCGGGUCGUAAACUGCUUUUAUGAGUGAAGAAUAUGACGGUAACUCAUGAAUAAGCACCGGCUAACUACGUG
Molecule: ribosomal RNA, 463 nt
Filed under: uncultured bacterium
Lineage: Bacteria
Description: bacterial SSU rRNA
Rfam family: Bacterial small subunit ribosomal RNA
Source: RNAcentral